This 250-nucleotide long non-coding RNA is filed under the name Capsicum annuum. RNAcentral describes it as "long non-coding RNA (CANN_LNC016679)". Lineage: Eukaryota; Viridiplantae; Streptophyta; Magnoliopsida; Solanales; Solanaceae. The record is from RNAcentral.
UAUCCAUUUUUAUUUAUUCACUUUUUUUCUAUUAUCGAAACAUGGGUGCUUGAUUUUUCCUUCAAUUUAACCUGAUCAGUGCAAUUAAGUUUAUGUGUCAAGUGCCUUGUGAUAUUGUAGAUGACUUUGAACAAGUGGAGAAAUGUUUGUAUUCAUGAAAGAAAUUUCAUCCUCAUCACCCUGCUUGUAAUUUAUAGACUUAAUGGUAACUCAAAUGGAUGGACAAGGCUCCAUUUGGUUUCCUAUUUUU